UAGUCCACGCCGUAAACGAUGAUUACUCGGUGUCGGCGACAUACAGUCGGUGCCUAAGCGAAAGUGAUAAGUAAUCCACCUGGGGAGUACGAUCGCAAGGUUGAAACUCAAAGGAAUUGACGGGGGCCCGCACAAGCGGUGGAGCAUGUGGUUUAAUUCGAUGAUACGCGAGGAACCUUACCUGGGCUUAAAUGCAGAAUGACUUUAUCGGAAACGAUAUUUCUCUUCGGAGCAGUCUGCAAGGUGCUGCAUGGCCGUCGUCAGCUCGUGCUGUGAGGUGUCGGGUUAAGUCCCAUAACGAGCGCAACCCCUAUUUCUAGUUGCCAGCGAGUAAUGUCGGGGACUCUAGAGAAACUGCCCGUGCAAACGGUGAGGAAGGUGGGGACGACGUCAGGGUCAUCACGGGCCCUUACGUCCAGGGGCUACACACGUGCUACAAUGGUAGGGGACAGAGGGGCA
RNAcentral lists this ribosomal RNA (459 nucleotides) under uncultured bacterium. RNAcentral's name for it is "bacterial SSU rRNA". It matches the Rfam family "Bacterial small subunit ribosomal RNA", at positions 791 to 1249 of the family's 1533-position model. The record is from RNAcentral.